RNAcentral lists this ribosomal RNA (460 nucleotides) under uncultured bacterium. Its description in RNAcentral is "partial 16S ribosomal RNA". It matches the Rfam family "Bacterial small subunit ribosomal RNA", at positions 338 to 795 of the family's 1533-position model. The record is from RNAcentral.
CCUACGGGAGGCAGCAGUGAGGAAUAUUGGUCAAUGGGCGUAAGCCUGAACCAGCCAAGUCGCGUGAGGGAUGAAGGUUCUAUGGAUCGUAAACCUCUUUUAUAAGGGAAUAAAGUGUGGGACGUGUCCUGGCCCGGAGAGUACCCGGAGAAAAAGCAUCGGCUAACUCCGUGCCAGCAGCCGCGGUAAUACGGAGGAUGCGAGCGUUAUCCGGAUUUAUUGGGUUUAAAGGGUGCGUAGGCGGGCUUUUAAGUCAGCGGUAAAAAUUCGGGGCUCAACCCCGUCCGGCCGUUGAAACUGGGGGCCUUGAGUGGGCGAGAAGAAGGCGGAAUGCGUGGUGUAGCGGUGAAAUGCAUAGAUAUCACGCAGAACCCCGAUUGCGAAGGCAGCCUUCCGGCGCCCUACUGACGCUGAGGCACGAAAGUGCGGGGAUCGAACAGGAUUAGAUACCCUUGUAGUC